CCUACGGGUGGCAGCAGUGGGGAAUAUUGCACAAUGGGGGAAACCCUGAUGCAGCAACGCCGCGUGAGUGAAGAAGGUUUUCGGAUUGUAAACUUCUGUCAGUAGUGAAGAAGAAUGACGGUACCGAAGGAGCAAGCCACGCCUAAUUACGUGCCAGCAGCGGCGGUAAUACGUAGGUGGCAAGCGUUGUCCGGAAUUACGGGGUGUAAGGGGAGCGCAGGCGGGAAGCCAAGUCAGCUGUGAAAGCCACGGGCUUAACUUGUAGACUGCAGUUGAAACUGGUUUUCUUGAGUGAAGUAGAGGUUGGCGGAAUUCCGAGUGUAGCGGUGAAAUGCGUAGAUAUUCGGAGGAACACCAGUGGCGAAGGCGGCCAACUGGACUUUAACUGACGCUGAGGCUCGAAAGUGUGGGGAGCAAACAGGAUUAGAUACCCGGGUAGUC
Molecule: ribosomal RNA, 441 nt
Filed under: uncultured bacterium
Lineage: Bacteria
Description: partial 16S ribosomal RNA
Rfam family: Bacterial small subunit ribosomal RNA
Source: RNAcentral